RNAcentral lists this ribosomal RNA (761 nucleotides) under uncultured Bacillota bacterium. RNAcentral's name for it is "bacterial SSU rRNA". It matches the Rfam family "Bacterial small subunit ribosomal RNA", at positions 571 to 1332 of the family's 1533-position model. Lineage: Bacteria; Bacillati; Bacillota. The record is from RNAcentral.
GCAGGCGGUUUGAUAAGUCUGAUGUGAAAGCCCUCGGCUUAACCGAGGAACUGCAUCGGAAACUGUUUUUCUUGAGUGCAGAAGAGGAGAGUGGAACUCCAUGUGUAGCGGUGGAAUGCGUAGAUAUAUGGAAGAACACCAGUGGCGAAGGCGGCUCUCUGGUCUGCAACUGACGCUGAGGCUCGAAAGCAUGGGUAGCGAACAGGAUUAGAUACCCUGGUAGUCCAUGCCGUAAACGAUGAGUGCUAAGUGUUGGGAGGUUUCCGCCUCUCAGUGCUGCAGCUAACGCAUUAAGCACUCCGCCUGGGGAGUACGACCGCAAGGUUGAAACUCAAAGGAAUUGACGGGGGCCCGCACAAGCGGUGGAGCAUGUGGUUUAAUUCGAAGCAACGCGAAGAACCUUACCAGGUCUUGACAUCCCAGUGACCGCUCUAGAGAUAGAGUUUUUCUUCGGAACACUGGUGACAGGUGGUGCAUGGUUGUCGUCAGCUCGUGUCGUGAGAUGUUGGGUUAAGUCCCGCAACGAGCGCAACCCUUAUUGUUAGUUGCCAUCAUUCAGUUGGGCACUCUAGCGAGACUGCCGGUAAUAAACCGGAGGAAGGUGGGGAUGACGUCAAAUCAUCAUGCCCCUUAUGACCUGGGCUACACACGUGCUACAAUGGUUGGUACAACGAGUCGCAAGUCGGUGACGGCAAGCAAAUCUCUUAAAGCCAAUCUCAGUUCGGAUUGUAGGCUGCAACUCGCCUACAUGAAGUCGGAAU